AGAGAGAGACCCUCAUCAAUUGCAGGUUAGUGAAUGUAGUUUUAAUUCUUGAUUGAAUGUUGCAACUAAAGAGUCCUGUGUUUCCAUUCUCUUAUUUGUUUGAUUUCUUCAAUUUCAUCUCAUCAAUCUGACCACCUGCUAAGUACAUCAUGGCGAUGGAAUCAGGGGUGGAGGUAGAAGAGGAAAGGGAUGGCAUGAAAAUGGUCGAGGUACUAAAAAACGUAAUUCAGUUAACGAUUAUAUCUUCAGAUAGAGGCGUUUAAGCAUCGUGUGGUGGUGGAUCCGAAGUAUGCUGAUCCGAGUCUGUUUUGAAGAAACAGAAAAGAAAUGAAGAAUGGUCUUUAAAUUAAAACAAGCCAGGGAUGGGAAAAAUUGAGUCUGACCUUGAGCUUGUUGAAUUUAAAAAGCUUCUUCCUCAUGUCUCUAACCAAAGACUAAAGGAUGCUGUUAUUAAGGUGGCUCCUGGAAGCAUGGAGUUAAUUGGAUUAGAGAAACUUAAAAAACUUCUGCGAGAAAACCCGUACACAUCUGCUGAGAUGCCUGAUUGUGGUUUGUAUCGAUGGGAUGACCUAAAGCGCAAGAUUGGAGCUACUGACGAGGGACUAGAAUCCGCUCUUCGGGCUCUUUCAGCCGUAGAGAUUAAACUGCAAGGGCUAUUGACGUACUCAAUUUCACUGCAGUAAAUGGGAAAGCUAUUCAUAUCAUGUACUUUCAUAGAGACCCAAGCGUUCGUAAAAGUGGAAUUGCAAAUAUAUUCAUCAAGAAUUUGGAUAAGUCAAUUGACAGCAAGGCAUUGCACAACACAUUUUGUAGCUUCAGUAACAUACUCUCUUGCAAGAUAGCUACAGACGGUACAGGCCAGUCAAAAGGGUUACAGGUUUGUGCAGUUUGAAACCGAAGAAGCUGCACAAACCACAAUUGAUAAUCUUAACGGUAUGCUGAUCAACGAAAGCAAGUUUACGUCGGUCACUUUCUUCGUAAGCAAGAACGUGACUCAUCAUUAAGCAACACAAAGUUUAACAAUGUCUACGUGAAAAAUGUUGGAAAUCUUUGAAACUUGAAUAGGGUUCUGCAGAUUUUCUAAAUGAUAUUGUUCAUGUGUAAAAUGAAUUGAUGGAUUACAAAUGUGAUAAUACAGUGAUAUAUAUAUAUA
Molecule: RNA transcript, 1153 nt
Organism: Helianthus annuus (common sunflower)
Lineage: Eukaryota; Viridiplantae; Streptophyta; Magnoliopsida; Asterales; Asteraceae
Exons: 6
Source: RefSeq, a predicted model, not a curated record